UUUUACUAUGUGCAUCAGUUCAGGUGGCUAAUCCUCAUUUUCAGAGAGAAAAAGUAGCAAGUACUUUAUUUAGCGGAAACCCUUUAUUUUUUGUUGAGAUUAAUUAAUCAUUUCCUGCAGAAAAGACAAACACAAAUGGCAUCCAAUGGUGUUUUGUAACACCAGGCGUCUUUGACAUGGCCGCCCUCGAUGAGAGCCGCCUUCGUCCAGCAAAGCCCCUUGCACCAAGCGUCGAAACAAAAUGGCUGCCUAUAAGCUCCUUUCAUGCAAUUCUCUGCACGAAAAUAAACAAUCACAGACAUCCACGCGUUAUUAUUCAGUCUACACGAGCAUAUCCAUGAAGCUAACAAAAACAUAAAAACAACCUUUUCUGCAUCAAGUUAGAGGGUGGGAGAGAGAGGGGGGACGGACCGGCCAUGGCAACAGGAUUUGGAUGUAGCACAAGUACUAGGAGGAGGAAGCGGAGAACAACAAGUCGGGCAUCCAUGGAUGGAGUGAUAAGUUUCUUUAUUGCCGAACCUCAAGGGAAUAUAAACACCGAUAGCACGGUGUGAUGUUGUGUCCAUAUGUGUAUAUAUAGGAUCGUCUUUGCAUGCUCUUGAUAAAUACUCAUUUGUUCAUAUUCAAUAGCCAUAUCUAUGUAUCUUUGAGAUACUACUACACUAACGGAGGUAGUCAGAAUGGAUGCAUGGGUGGCCACACUACCAUUUAUCCCCGGACGACCACGUUGUCACGUUAGAGGAUUCGGUGGCCGCCUCACGAAGAAAUCUUUCAUACGUUGCUGACUGCUGCCGUUCGCAUUGGCGCCCGGCUACCGGCUAGAGAAAAUAAAUGACCUAGGCUUUCUUGGAUUGCAGAGGCUAGGUUUUUCGAUGAGCGGUACAUACUAGUAAAAACAACACAUGUGUUGACGCCGGUCUAAUAGGCCACAAUAACUAAGAGCAUUUUCAAUAGAAAUGGUCUAAUUCUUGCAGCACUGAAGCAAAGCCGUCUCCCUUCCCCAAAACAUAUGGAUAUGCGAAUUUACUCGUGUGUCUUUUAAAAAUAAAUGUGAGCAUGUAAAAAUAAAGACUAAAUGAUCUUUAUUUAUAGUUUAAGAAAUUCAGCAUAUGCACUCCGGGGUGGUGAAAAGUGUUGAUAGAUAGAGAGGGAGAGAGGGAGGGAGAGAGAGAGAGAUAGAGAGAAAGAGAUUGGAUGCCCUUUUUCUUCUUAAGAAACAUGAAAUACAAACUUGGGGUUUUUAGAAAGAAACUGAACUUUGUUUGGACAACUAUAUUUUUAAUACACUAUGCUCCCUAAUUUUUAAGGGCUCACAACCAAUUGCGGUCUCUAAUUUAGAAUUGGGUCGUCUUUUUUUAUGGUCAAAACAGUAGGAGCUCCUACUGCAUAUAUAUUUAAAAAAUGGGGGUUAAAAGGAAGAUAUGGUGGGUUUUAUAUUCUUUGGCACUCUCUUAUUCAAUUCUUUUAAUUCACUAUGCUUCCUAAUUUUAGAGCUCUUCCAUUCGAAUGAGGUAUUCAAUAUUAGAUUUAGUUUACGAUUUUGACCGGGCCAACGAUUUUUCAAAUCAAUUAGCAACAAUCGGCCUAUAAAAACAUAUCAAUCCCACUCACCCUCUCACCAAUUAGAAAAAUGAAGGGUCAUCAUGUGACACUAUAGCACCAAUAUAGUACAUGCAGCAACCGACUCAGAAAUUUCCUGUCAUAUAUAUGGGUUGAUUAGCAGAUAACAUAGAAUCACAUUGUGAAAAGCCGACCAAAACACCGCAUUAUAUGAAUAAAAAUAAAAUACACGCCAUCAUCUCCUCCGCUCGCUAAACAUUCCCUCAGUUCUAAAAUAGAAGGUGCAUUUAGUUUUUUGAAAACUCAAAUUUCUUUAACUUUGACCAAGUUCAGAGCCAAAAUAUCGACAUCCACAAUACUAAAUAAAUAAAAUAUAAAAAUCCGUUUCAUGAUGAAUGUAAUGAUACCAAUUUGAUAUUAUUGAUUUUGAUAUACUUCUAAUUUGAUCAAACUUAAAGAGGUUUGGCUUUUCAGAAAAGAAUACGCCUUCUAUUUUGAAACAGAGAGUAAUUUUUUUAUGAAAACCCAACAAUACCAAUGGCGCAGCAAAGUGCGCCUAGCCCUUCUAGUAUAGACGAUAGCUGCUCUAAUUCUAAUAAUGGAUAAAACUACAGGAUUUAUUAGAAAAGCUUUGAAGGAUUGUGAAAAGCAUGUCACAAAUGCACUAUGGCGCUUUAUUCAGCAGAAAGCUAGAAACCUUUAUUUUUCUUGCUUUAUUAAGGUUAUUUUCUGCAGAAGAGACAGACACAACUGGUGUUGUCCUCCAAUCUCCAGCAUGUUUGUUGUUUGACACGGGCGCCAAUGAAUUGCGCUUGCGUCCAGCACAACGCCUUGCACAAGGUGUCAAAACAGAAUGGCGUCGUCGAAGCCCGAUAUCUGCAAUCCUCUGCACGGAAAAAACACAAUAUUACAUUAAAAGGAAAAGGAAAUAACAUAACUAUAAAUAUCCACGCAUCAGUUAAUUAUUAGUUUGGUCUCUCGUAGCCUCACACCGCGAGCAAAGAAGACAAAAACAAGCUAGAUCCUAGAUGAGAGGGGGGAAGAAACAUAAGCCGCGUGUUUGGUUCUGUGCAUGAAUUUUGGGCCUCCUGCAUCUGUAGUUCGGUUGAGUCCAGAUGAGCAAAUAGAGACAAUAAACCAUGUUUUAUAGUGCAUUUGGUUGCCCACAAAGCUCCAGGCUGCAUGAGAACAGAAAUAGAAGUACUACCUUUGGUUGCAAAUAUUUGUUGGUCAGAUGCAACGUGUUGUUGUUGUUCGGUUACGUGCAAGACAUAGAGUGUGGUAAUCUCUUUUUUUAGUGGUGAAUUUAGGAGCACACACAGUCAUAUGCACACCACUUUCAACAAGCAUACAAAUGACUACAUUAACAAGCAUACACACAACGACACAACCAUAGGUAUAAUAGUGAUAUAGUAAAAUACACUAGAGGCCCUACAAGUAUUCCAAGUGUGUAAGGUAGGUCCUAAAAGUUUGAAAUCGUCCACCGCCGGUCCUAUACGUCUAUUUUACCCGCAACUUUUAGGAACUACUUGACAUAGUUGGAAUACUUUUAGGACCCAUGGCGAACGACGUACACACAUUUAGGUCCCGCGGUGAACGAUUUCAAACUUUUAGGACCUACUUGACACACUUGGAAUACGUUUAGGACCUCCGGUGUAUUUUACUCAUAGUGAUACACAGACGUGGCAAGGGUUGGGUCAUGAUGGGUGCACCUGACCACCACGUCUACGUCGGAAAGGUCAAACACAAUGACCUUGAAACUAUCCUACUCAGGAGCUAUGACAAAGCCAACCCACCCUUGAUCCAUGGCACACCCCCGUUGACAUCUCGACGUUUGACCCUUUAGUUGCAGCCAAUGUUCGUCCCCAGAACGAUUUCCUGUGGGAUGGUGCCCAUGUGCUCACAAAAGACAUCAUGUAUUAUAUAGAAGUAAAUAUAACCCAGGUGCUAAAAGCAUCUUGCAGAAGUGGGUUGGACCUACGUCCUCAUGGAAGCAACUGAUAUUCGUCGACCUCCCCUGCCUCGUCUUUGAACUAUUGCCUUCUACUAUAGCCUUGCCCUUGAAACAACUGCCUGAAGCAUCAUUGUCGAUGACCAACUUGUCGGAAGGGCAAUGCAAUGAAGAACAUUAGGCUCACCACACCACUGAAGUACAAUGUGUAGGAUCAUAACAAUGUGCAUGUAAAGGGUGAUGAUCUUCACUGCUUCCUGUCAUAUAGAAGGAGAGAGAUGGUACAAGGAUCAGAGCUACAAUGGGAAGAACCAACCCUCAUACCAACGAUCACCCUAAUACAUGGACUGCACAUAAGUGAAGAUCAUUGCUCUACGCAGUCCAAGUUAAACUAUUCUUCCCCCAAUCAGACUGAUGUACCCCCUAAUCUAACUUAGCUUCCCCAAAAUUUAACCCUAAAUCGACACCCAAAUUAAGCCAUAUCAAACCCUGUAAAACCCUAAAUCUGGCAGGGAAAGGGCUUACCGUCAAGCGGAAGGUCGUCGCUGGUGGUCACUAUGCAGAUCUUCCUGCCGCCGAUGAUCACAAUGUUGCAUGUGAGGGAGUGGCGGUGUAGAUCGGGGAGAGUGAGUGGUGAGAGAGGGUGAGGGUUUUAUGGCAUGGCUUCGUCAAACUAUGCGCCGUCUCCCUCUCGUCCCCGCGUGUGCAAGCGCGUGCCGUCCUUGCACUCGGUCAUGCCUGACUCGCUGGAAACAAUCGAUUUGGCCAUUACUCCAGUUCCAGGAUCUGGGCUGCUUUAGUAGUCUGCCACACAGGUAACCAAACAAACCAUGAUUGCUUUCCCAAGAUCUGGCUGGAGAGGAUGCGAGCAAUCAAACACACCCAAGGUAGCAUGCCUAGCGUCCAUGUAGUAGUAUGUGAUGUGAUGGUUUCCUCAGAAACCUCACGGAUGGAAUGGAUAGAUAGUGUGUUAGGUACACUGCCUGGAUGGUAGUAAUAAUUAUGAGGAUCCAGUAUAAAUUUCCUAAAUCUUAGCGAGUUUGUGUUUUUUUUGUAAUUUGUACUUACUGAGCCAGGGUUUUCUUUCUAAAAAAUACAGCUAAAGAGCACCUUAGAUUCGCUAAUACAAUGGAAAGACAACAUGACACAAAAUGAUUAAAAAAUAAUAUAAUUGCAUCAAAAACCAUACUAUAACAACACAUGCAUUAGUUUUUUCGCGGGGUGCACAUGUUAAUUGCUUCAGUCUCAUGCGUAUAACGCCGUGCAAAGAAGUGAAAAACAAGAUAGAGAGAGAGGGAGACGAACCGGCGACAUCAGUAGGACUUACGUGUAACACAAGUACUAGGAGGAGGAAAUAGAGAACCAAAUGCUGGGCACCCAUGGUGAUGAAGUGAUAGUUUAUUUCUUAUCAAACCUAAGGGAGAUGCCGCCGAUAGUAUCUCCAAGAAAAUGAUAUGCAUCUAUCUGUCACCGGUUAUAAACAAGUCGACGUCAUCCUAUAAAAUCUGCCGAGCAAUUAAUAUUUUAUCAAAUAGCGUCUUGCAAUUAAUUUCUAUCAAAUAUCAACGUCAAGUUAUAUUUCACCAUAUAUCUACAUGCAAUUAACAUCCUACCUUUUUUAUAGUGAAUUAAUAUAUCCUACCUAUAUAGAGAGUCUUUGCAUGCUCUUGAUAAACAUUUUAAUUCGGACAGAUUGUAUCUAUCUUUAAGAUACGUUGAACAAGCCAGGAUCUAGGUUGGCUUCAAUGACAAAUAUGUGCAUACUUUGGGUAAAAAUCCAUGUUGUCGCCUCGUUAGCUUGAUCCGGUAACGUCAUGUGGGUGGGUUGUGCCUUUGUUGAAGGUGUUAGGUCGAAGAUUGGGUUCGAGGAUGAAAAUUGUAAGUGUAAUAUUUGGUUGGACCUGUCAACGCCAACACGGUGUGGUGAUCCUUUCCUGAAGGCUUUGUUUAGGAGUAGCGUUUUUGUUGGUUGCUUUGUCAAACAUCAUCAUAGGGUUCGUGCUAAGUUUGUGGAUACAUUGUUGUGAGGAAGAUCCUUUUGUGGAUGGCCUUGGUUUUUUUAACCCCAUUUAUUCGUCAUUGAUAUUGAGUUGUACUUGGGCAUUGAUUGAGAUUAUAGAAGAAUCAAUGAUAUAUGACUAUGUGCAUCAGUUUGGGUGGCUGGUCCUCAUUUUCGAAGAGAAAAAAUAGCAAAUACUUUAUUUAGCGAAAACCCUUUAUUUUCUUGUUGAGAUUAUUUAAUCAUUUCUUGCAGAAAGUACAAACACAAAUGGCAUCCCAUGGUGUUUUGUAACACCGGGAGUCUUUGACACGGCCGCCCUUGAUGAGAGCCCCCUUCAUCCAGCAGAGUGCCUUGCACCAAGCGUCGAAACAGAAUGGCUGGCUAUAAGCUCCUUUCCCGCAAUUCUCUGCAUGAAAAUAAACAAUCACGGAUAUCGGCGUGUUAGUAGUCAAGUCUGUCACGGUGUCACUACACAGAGCAUAUCCACGAAGCUAACAAGAACAUAAAAACAUUUUUUCUGUAUCAAGUUAACAAACCUGAAAAUGAGAGAGAGAGAGAGAGAGAGAGAGAGAGAGAGAGAGACCGGCCAUGGCAGCAGGAUUUGGAUAUAGCACAAGUACUAGGAGGAGGAAACGGAGAACGGCAAGCCGGGCAUCCAUGGAUGGAGUGAUGACACCAGUACUAUCUCCGAGAACUAAAGUGAUGGUGUGUCCAUAUGUGUAUAUAUAGG
RNAcentral lists this long non-coding RNA (6243 nucleotides) under Triticum aestivum (bread wheat). Its description in RNAcentral is "long non-coding RNA (TAES_LNC004864)". The record is from RNAcentral. Lineage: Eukaryota; Viridiplantae; Streptophyta; Magnoliopsida; Poales; Poaceae.